RNAcentral lists this ribosomal RNA (503 nucleotides) under uncultured bacterium. Its description in RNAcentral is "bacterial SSU rRNA". It matches the Rfam family "Bacterial small subunit ribosomal RNA", at positions 8 to 518 of the family's 1533-position model. The record is from RNAcentral.
AGAGUUUGAUCAUGGCUCGAGGACGAACGCUGGCGGCGUGCUUAACACAUGCAAGUCGAACGGGCACUUCGGUGCUAGUGGCGAACGGGUGAGUAAAACGCAGGUAAUCUGCCGCAAAGUUGGGGACAACGUUCCGAAAGGGGCGCUAAUACCGAAUGUUGUGUAAUGUCCGCAUGGGCAAUACACUAAAGAUUUAUCGCUUUGCGAGGAGCCUGCGUCCGAUUAGGUAGUUGGUGAGAUAAAAGCUCACCAAGCCGACGAUCGGUAGCCGGUCUGAGAGGAUGAACGGCCACAAUGGAACUGAGACACGGUCCAUACUCCUACGGGAGGCAGCAGGUGGGGAAUAUUCCACAAGUCGGGGGAAACCCUGAUGGAGCGACGCCGCGUGAGUGAAGAAGGGCUUCGGCUACGUAAAGCUCUUUUGUCGUUGACGAAUGACUUAUUGGAUAAGUAGAGACGGUAGACGGCGAAUAAGCCACGGCUAACUACGUGCCAGCCGCAGC